This is a long non-coding RNA of Biomphalaria glabrata, 523 nucleotides long. RefSeq lists it as uncharacterized. The record is from RefSeq and is a predicted model, not a curated record. NCBI's taxonomy places the organism in Eukaryota, Metazoa, Mollusca, Gastropoda, Planorbidae. The transcript has 4 exons.
GUAUUAAAGAAAAAGAUAGAUCUCUUAUCUUGGUCACAGAAAGACGCAGAUGGUACUUUGCUCAUAGACAUUAAAAGACAGAAGAGCUAUAAAGACAAGAUUGCAAUAGUUUAGGUCCAAAUCAUUAUUUACAACAUGAACACACGAUUGCUUUGUAUUGUAACAGUUCUGUUACUUGGAAACUUUCAAUGCUCUGAAGGUGCACCAAAACUUUGUGCUAAUAUAGUAAAUUGUUUUGUCCGGCCUUGCCAAUUUGCACAGUGUUCCGUUUCCGGAGCAGUUUGUAUGGAUGAUUACUGUGGAGGCUGUAAUGCGAGGUGGUAUGUCGGCAAUACAGAGGUGACAAGUCAAUGUGCUGCUAUUGCUUGAUGAACUCUGGAGCCGAAAUCCUCGGAAACAAACACUUGAUCUUGAACAACAUGUUAAGACAUUAUUGCUUGGAUGUCAUCUGACAUUACAGUUUUGAAUGAUGGAAUUAUUUGUAAUAAAUAAUGAAACCAAUAAAAAUGUUUUGAAAAAAGAA